GGAUUCCCAUCGAGAAAGAACUAGCCAUUCACUCGUAGCGAGUCUUGGAGGGCUUCUGGUUACAGUAGCCCUUAAGCGUAGACAGUUAGGUGUUUAACUUGUGUUCAACAAUCGGUCCAUUUAAAGGAAUAUAUUUAUGUGUAAUGGAAGACUC
Non-coding RNA from Sporosarcina psychrophila, 154 nucleotides. The record is from Rfam. Lineage: Bacteria; Bacillati; Bacillota; Bacilli; Caryophanales; Caryophanaceae.